RNAcentral lists this ribosomal RNA (1495 nucleotides) under metagenome. Its description in RNAcentral is "bacterial LSU rRNA". It matches the Rfam family "Bacterial large subunit ribosomal RNA", at positions 1434 to 2925 of the family's 2925-position model. The record is from RNAcentral.
AAUUUCAAUACCAACAUACAAGCGCGAUGUGGGGACGCAUAGAGUUAGUCGAGCUCACUGAUGGAAUAGUGGGUCGAAGGACGUAGGUUGAUACUUAGGCAAAUCCGGGUAUCAUAAGACCGAGAUCUUACAGGCUCUUGACACUCUUCGGAGGAGAUGGAGAAUCGAUGAUACUGUCGUGCCAAGAAAAGCCACUAAGUAUAUUGUAUGUUGCCCGUACCGUAAACCGACACAGGUGGGUGGGAUGAGUAUUCUAAGGCGCGUGGAAGAACCCUGGUUAAGGAACUCUGCAAACUAGCACCGUAUCUUCGGUAUAAGGUGUGCCUACUUUGGUAUAUGGGCUUGCCCCAAAAAGCUAGAGAGGUUGCAACAAAGAGUCCCUCCCGACUGUUUACCUAAAACACGGCACUUUGCUAACACGUAAGUGGAUGUAUAAGGUGUGACGCCUGCCCGGUGCUCGAAGGUUAACUGAUGAUGUCAGCGCAAGCGAAGCAUUUGAUUGAAGCCCGAGUAAACGGCGGCCGUAACUAUAACGGUCCUAAGGUAGCGAAAUUCCUUGUCGGUUAAAUACCGACCUGCAUGAAUGGCGUAACGAGAUGGGAGCUGUCUCAACCAGGGAUCCAGUGAAAUUGUAGUGGAGGUGAAAAUUCCUCCUACCCGCGGAAAGACGGAAAGACCCCGUGCACCUUUACUACAGCUUGACACUGUAGCUUGGAUAUUCAUGUGCAGGAUAGGUGGGAGGCUAUGAUAUAUGGACGCAAGUACAUAUGGAGCCAUCCUUUAGAUACCACCCUUGAAUAUUUGAGUUACUAACUGCGACGAGUUAACCUCGUUCAGGACAAUGUCUGGUGGGUAGUUUGACUGGGGCGGUCGCCUCCUAAAAAGUAACGGAGGCUUACAAAGGUUAGUUCAAAGCGGUUGGAAAUCGCUUGUUGAGUAUAAUGGCAUAAACUGGCUUGACUGUGAGACAUACAAGUCGAACAGAGACGAAAGUCGGUCAUAGUGAUCCGGUGGUUCUGUGUGGAAGGGCCAUCGCUCAAAGGAUAAAAGGUACGCCGGGGAUAACAGGCUGAUCUCCCCCAAGAGCUCACAUCGACGGGGAGGUUUGGCACCUCGAUGUCGGCUCAUCGCAUCCUGGGGCUGUAGUCGGUCCCAAGGGUAUGGCUGUUCGCCAUUUAAAGCGGUACGCGAGCUGGGUUCAGAACGUCGUGAGACAGUUCGGUCCCUAUCUUCCGUGGGCGUAGGAAAGUUGAAGAGAUUUGUCCCUAGUACGAGAGGACCGGGAUGAACGUACCACUGGUGUACCAAUUGUUCUGCCAAGAGCAUCGUUGGGUAGCUACGUACGGAUGUGAUAAGAGCUGAAAGCAUCUAAGCUCGAAGCCAACUCUAAGAUGAACUUUCCCUGAAGUUCCCAGCAAGACUAGCUGGUUGAUAGGCUGGAUGUGUAAGCGUUGUAAGACGUUUAGCUGACCAGUACUAAUAGAACGUUUGGCUC